GAUGAACGCUGGCGGCGUGCCUAAUACAUGCAAGUCGAGCGAACGGACGAGAAGCUUGCUUCUCUGAUGUUAGCGGCGGACGGGUGAGUAACACGUGGAUAACCUACCUAUAAGACUGGGAUAACUUCGGGAAACCGGAGCUAAUACCGGAUAAUAUUUUGAACCGCAUGGUUCAAAAGUGAAAGACGGUCUUGCUGUCACUUAUAGAUGGAUCCGCGCUGCAUUAGCUAGUUGGUAAGGUAACGGCUUACCAAGGCAACGAUGCAUAGCCGACCUGAGAGGGUGAUCGGCCACACUGGAACUGAGACACGGUCCAGACUCCUACGGGAGGCAGCAGUAGGGAAUCUUCCGCAAUGGGCGAAAGCCUGACGGAGCAACGCCGCGUGAGUGAUGAAGGUCUUCGGAUCGUAAAACUCUGUUAUUAGGGAAGAACAUAUGUGUAAGUAACUGUGCACAUCUUGACGGUACCUAAUCAGAAAGCCACGGCUAACUACGUGCCAGCAGCCGCGGUAAUACGUAGGUGGCAAGCGUUAUCCGGAAUUAUUGGGCGUAAAGCGCGCGUAGGCGGUUUUUUAAGUCUGAUGUGAAAGCCCACGGCUCAACCGUGGAGGGUCAUUGGAAACUGGAAAACUUGAGUGCAGAAGAGGAAAGUGGAAUUCCAUGUGUAGCGGUGAAAUGCGCAGAGAUAUGGAGGAACACCAGUGGCGAAGGCGACUUUCUGGUCCGUAACUGACGCUGAUGUGCGAAAGCGUGGGGAUCAAACAGGAUUAGAUACCCUGGUAGUCCACGCCGUAAACGAUGAGUGCUAAGUGUUAGGGGGUUUCCGCCCCUUAGUGCUGCAGCUAACGCAUUAAGCACUCCGCCUGGGGAGUACGACCGCAAGGUUGAAACUCAAAGGAAUUGACGGGGACCCGCACAAGCGGUGGAGCAUGUGGUUUAAUUCGAAGCAACGCGAAGAACCUUACCAAAUCUUGACAUCCUUUGACAACUCUAGAGAUAGAGCUUUCCCCUUCGGGGGACAAAGUGACAGGUGGUGCAUGGUUGUCGUCAGCUCGUGUCGUGAGAUGUUGGGUUAAGUCCCGCAACGAGCGCAACCCUUAAGCUUAGUUGCCAUCAUUAAGUUGGGCACUCUAAGUUGACUGCCGGUGACAAACCGGAGGAAGGUGGGGAUGACGUCAAAUCAUCAUGCCCCUUAUGAUUUGGGCUACACACGUGCUACAAUGGACAAUACAAAGGGCAGCGAAACCGCGAGGUCAAGCAAAUCCCAUAAAGUUGUUCUCAGUUCGGAUUGUAGUCUGCAACUCGACUACAUGAAGCUGGAAUCGCUAGUAAUCGUAGAUCAGCAUGCUACGGUGAAUACGUUCCCGGGUCU
This 1372-nucleotide ribosomal RNA is filed under the name uncultured bacterium. Its description in RNAcentral is "bacterial SSU rRNA". It matches the Rfam family "Bacterial small subunit ribosomal RNA", at positions 28 to 1381 of the family's 1533-position model. The record is from RNAcentral.